UGUCGGAUUAUUGGGCGUAAGCGCGCGCAGGCGGUUUCUUAAGUCUGAUGUGAAAGCCCCCGGCUCAACCGGGGAGGGUCAUUGGAAACUGGGGAACUUGAGUGCAGAAGAGGAGAGUGGAAUUCCACGUGUAGCGGUGAAAUGCGUAGAGAUGUGGAGGAACACCAGUGGCGAAGGCGACUCUCUGGUCUGUAACUGACGCUGAGGCGCGAAAGCGUGGGGAGCGAACAGGAUUAGAUACCCUGGUAGUCCACGCCGUAAACGAUGAGUGCUAAGUGUUAGAGGGUUUCCGCCCUUUAGUGCUGCAGCAAACGCAUUAAGCACUCCGCCUGGGGAGUACGGUCGCAAGACUGAAACUCAAAGGAAUUGACGGGGGCCCGCACAAGCGGUGGAGCAUGUGGUUUAAUUCGAAGCAACGCGAAGAACCUUACCAGGUCUUGACAUCCUCUGACACCCCUAGAGAUAGGGCUUCCCCUUCGGGGGCAGAGUGACAGGUGGUGCAUGGUUGUCGUCAGCUCGUGUCGUGAGAUGUUGGGUUAAGUCCCGCAACGAGCGCAACCCUUGAUCUUAGUUGGCAGCAUUCAGUUGGG
RNAcentral lists this ribosomal RNA (590 nucleotides) under Bacillus sonorensis. RNAcentral describes it as "bacterial SSU rRNA". It matches the Rfam family "Bacterial small subunit ribosomal RNA", at positions 543 to 1134 of the family's 1533-position model. The record is from RNAcentral. Lineage: Bacteria; Bacillati; Bacillota; Bacilli; Caryophanales; Bacillaceae.